Long non-coding RNA from Mytilus californianus (California mussel), 2216 nucleotides. RefSeq lists it as uncharacterized. The record is from RefSeq and is a predicted model, not a curated record. Lineage: Eukaryota; Metazoa; Mollusca; Bivalvia; Mytilida; Mytilidae. The transcript has 3 exons.
AAAAUAUUCUCACAUACAAAUUAUCCUUUAGAUAACAUGUCUUAGUCCUAAUUUCACUUUACAUUUGCUGUUGUUAUAGCCGUCUUUAAUGAAGUUAAUUUGUUUUAAAAUUCACAUGUCAUUUAUUGCUUCUGUGCUGUUCUAAGAAUUCAUAUUUCAGCCAUUGUUAAAUUGAUAAGGUUAGGAUUUCAAAUAUGGAAAUGUGCUAAAAGUGGUGUUAAAUGCCAACAAUCAAUCAAAUAAGGAUAGCAAUCCAACCAAUUUCAAAAUAAGAAGCCCUUAGGGGCAUAAAUUGCGUUUAUCGCUUUUGAUCUGGUAGACCAAAGUGAGCUAUUUCUUUCACUUGACUUUUAUCAAAUGUCUUGCACUCUUUGUCAAUUACAUUUUCAAAAAUAUUCUUCUAUGUAGGAGGUCUACUCACAUUCAUAAUAUGAGCAUUUAGACUAGUGUAUGGAUUUGUCCUGUAGAAUAGGUCAGCAUCCAGACAAAAGUUGAUUUUUGUAACCUACUUUAUCUACUUCAUUCAUUCUUGUUAAGUUAUAUGUCCAAGUUAGGAUAAUUUUACAUAACAUGAUUAUGUUAACCAGUUAAUGGAUGCAUCCUGAAAUAUAGGUCAGCAACCAGAUAGAGUAAACAUGUCUUCCAUUAGGACUGUAGCAUGAUAAAAAUUGGCCCAGAGUGUUGGACUAGUACAAAGCAGGGUAUAUAUUCAUCACAUCAACAUGUUCUCGUCCUGGAUAUGCAUUUAACUUGCCAUUGGAUGUGAAACAGCCUUCAAUCAUCAUCAUUAAUGACUUUUAUUAAGUUGAUGUCAAAGUUCAUAUUUCAAUGACUAUUUUUAAGAGGAUAAUGUAAACUAGUGUAGGUUUGCAUCCUAGAGGGUACGUCAGCAUCCAGAAAAAAGAAGGUUACUUUAGUUGUUCUCUUUAUAGACUGUGGUUAGGGAUGAAAGAAGGUUACUUUAGUUUUUCUCUUCAUAGACUUUGGUUAGGGACGAAAGAAGGUUACUUUAGUUUUUCUCUUCAUAGACUGUGGUUAGGGACGAAAGAAGGUUACUUUAGUUUUCUCUUCAUAGACUUUGGUUAGGGACGAAAGAAGGUUACUUUAGUUUUUCUCUUCAUAGACUGUGGUUAGGGACGAAAGAAGGUUACUUUAGUUUUCUCUUCAUAGACUUUGGUUAGGGACGAAAGAAGGUUACUUCAGUUUUUCUCUUUAUAGACUUUGGUUAGGGACGAAAGAAGGUUACUUUAGUUUUCUCUUCAUAGACUUUGGUUAGGGACGAAAGAAGGUUACUUUAGUUUUUCUCUUCAUAGACUGUGGUUAGGGACGAAAGAAGGUUACUUCAGUUUUUCUCUUUAUAGACUUUGGUUAGGGACGAAAGAAGGUUACUUUAGUUUUUCUCUUCAUAGACUGUGGUUAGGGACAAGAGGGUCUCUUUAGUUGUUCAAUCAUAGACUUUGGUUAGGGACGAAAGAAGGUUACUUUAGUUUUCUCUUUAUAGACUUUGGUUAGGGACGAAAGAAGGUUACUUCAGUUUUUCUCUUUAUAGACUGUGGUUAGGGAUGAAAGAAGGUUACUUCAGUUUUUCUCUUUAUAGACUUUGGUAAGGGACAAGAGGGUCUCUUUAGUUGUUCAAUCAUAGACUUUGGUUAGGGACGAAAGAAGGUUACUUUAGUUUUUCUCUUCAUAGACUGUGGUUAGGGACAAGAGGGUCUCUUUAGUUGUUCAAUCAUAGACUUUGGUUAGGGACGAAAGAAGUUUUCUUUAGUUUUUCUCUUUAUAGAAUUUGGUUAGGAGCGAAAGAAGUUUUUCUCUUCAUAGACUGUGGUUAGGGACGAAAGAAGGUUUCUUUAGUUUUUCUCUUUAUAGACUUUGGUUAGGGGCGUAAGAAGGUUAUUUUAGUUUUUCUCUUCAUUGACUUGGUUUAGGAAAUACUAUGGUUAUUUUAGAAAUUAAUUACAGUUAAGGAAUGAUGUUUGGUGACAGAAUAUUAAUUUCACUUUUUAUGACAAUGAAUCAUUUAUAUGAACUAUUGAGAAAGAGUCAAAUUCAGUAACCAUAAUUUAGCUAUGUUUUUUUCCUGAAUGGGGAUCAAAGAAAUUGUUUUUUUUUCAGUUUUGAGGCUGAAAUAGACCUGUCAUCAUUACUUUAUUUCUAAUCCAAUGAAAAAUUGUUGACACAUAUUUAGAUAACAUUAAAUGAUGAUUAUUUCAUGU